GGGGCGUUAGCUCAGUUGGUAGAGCAAGUGACUUUUAAUCACUGGGUCGUAGGUUCGACUCCUACACGCCUCACCA
Molecule: transfer RNA, 76 nt
Filed under: Magnetofaba australis IT-1
Lineage: Bacteria; Pseudomonadati; Pseudomonadota; Magnetococcia; Magnetococcales; Magnetococcaceae
Also listed under: 1 other name
Description: tRNA-Lys
Rfam family: tRNA
About the family: Transfer RNA (tRNA) molecules are approximately 80 nucleotides in length. Their secondary structure includes four short double-helical elements and three loops (D, anti-codon, and T loops).
Source: RNAcentral